UGAUUUCUGAUAUUUUGGCGCACCUA
RNAcentral lists this non-coding RNA (26 nucleotides) under Homo sapiens (human). The record is from RNAcentral. Lineage: Eukaryota; Metazoa; Chordata; Mammalia; Primates; Hominidae.